GAUGAACGCUGGCGGCGUGCCUAAUACAUGCAAGUAGAACGCUGCAGGUGGAGCUUGCCCUUCUGGAUGAGUUGCGAACGGGUGAGUAACGCGUAGGCAACCUGCCUGGUAGCGGGGGAUAACUAUUGGAAACGAUAGCUAAUACCGCAUGACAACAGCUAUUGCAUGAUAACGGAUUAAAAGGGGCAACUGCUCGACUACCAGAUGGACCUGCGUUGUAUUAGCUAGGUGGUGAGGUAACGGCCCACCAAGGCGACGAUACAUAGCCGACCUGAGAGGGUGAUCGGCCACACUGGGACUGAGACACGGCCCAGACUCCUACGGGAGGCAGCAGUAGGGGAUCUUCGGCAAUGGACGGAAGGCUGACCGAGCAACGCCGCGUGAGUGAAGAAGGUUUUCGGAUCGUAAAGCUCUGUUGUAAGAGAAGAACGAGUGUGAGAGUGGAAAGUUCACACUGUGACGGUAGCUUACCAGAAAGGGACGGCUAACUACGUG
Molecule: ribosomal RNA, 495 nt
Filed under: uncultured bacterium
Lineage: Bacteria
Description: partial 16S ribosomal RNA
Rfam family: Bacterial small subunit ribosomal RNA
Source: RNAcentral